Molecule: ribosomal RNA, 466 nt
Filed under: uncultured bacterium
Lineage: Bacteria
Description: partial 16S ribosomal RNA
Rfam family: Bacterial small subunit ribosomal RNA
Source: RNAcentral
GAUGAACGCUGGCGGCGUGCUUAACACAUGCAAGUCGAACGAUGAAGCCCAGCUUGCUGGGUGGAUUAGUGGCGAACGGGUGAGUAACACGUGAGUAACCUGCCCUUAACUCUGGGAUAAGCCUGGGAAACUGGGUCUAAUACCGGAUAGGAGCGUCCACCGCAUGGUGGGUGUUGGAAAGAUUUAUCGGUUUUGGAUGGACUCGCGGGCUAUCAGCUUGUUGGUGAGGUAAUGGCUCACCAAGGCGACGACGGGUAGCCGGCCUGAGAGGGUGACCGGCCACACUGGGACUGAGACACGGCCCAGACUCCUACGGGAGGCAGCAGUGGGGAAUAUUGCACAAUGGGCGCAAGCCUGAUGCAGCGACGCCGCGUGAGGGAUGACGGCCUUCGGGUUGUAAACCUCUUUCAGUAGGGAAGAAGCGAAAGUGACGGUACCUGCAGAAGAAGCACCGGCUAACUACGUG